This 1282-nucleotide long non-coding RNA is filed under the name Capra hircus (goat). RNAcentral's name for it is "lncRNA (ENSCHIG00010011219.1)". The record is from RNAcentral. Lineage: Eukaryota; Metazoa; Chordata; Mammalia; Artiodactyla; Bovidae.
AUUUUAUUCUCUUCCCCACCACUCCAACAGUUAGGACAGUGUCCCAGUAUCAUUUAAUGAAAAGCUACUUGUUGAACCAUUCAUUUACUCAAUGGAUAUUUAUCCAGAACCUACCAUGAACAGACAUUUUUCUAGGUCCUGGUGAUAGAUUACAUUCUAAUGGGAAGAGGCCAAUAAUGACACCUAAACAUGCAACACAUUAGAUGAUGUGAAACACGACAGACCAAGAGGGGCUGGAAUGGCUUUCUUGGUCAAGGAUGAUCAAGGAAGGUCUCUCUGAAAUGGAAACAUCUGGGUGGAGACCAGAAGGAGGUAAGAGAUGGCCCAGGCACCCAGGCAGGGAGUGCCAGGCAGAGGAGACCACAAACACUGGACCAGCAGGUGGGGUUACAUUUGGUGUAUUCAAAUCGUGGCAAAGAGGCCACUCAAACAGAAGCCGUACCACUAGUUAGGGAAAAGGAGGCCAGGAGUCAGAGGGGUGGCAGGAGUCAGGCUGUGUAGGACCUGACAGGUCAUGGUAAACACUUUGAAUUUUGGUGCUGGCUGAGUUGAGUGGAUUGCAUUUCCAAAUAUGACCUCAGCAACAUCCUCUGCACUCUGCUGCAUGGCCACGUUGCCCUGCCCCUGUCAGGAAGGGCUGUCUCUCAACCUCUGAAUCUGGGCUGGUUUGCUAAGUGCUUUGGCCAACAAAAUAUGGCAGAAGGAUGUUGUCCCAGCCCCUGUCUUGUGUGGCAGCUUCUUCUUCCUGCCUCUUAGAGAUCAUCACAGAGGGAAAAGUGCAUGAACCUCAGGACUGGUAGUCUGUUCAAACCACAUGGCGAGCCCUGGAAGGGGAGAGGUCACCAGGUGCCAGGAUACGAGUGAAGAAGCCACCUUGGAGGGGGCCCUCUAGCCCAGCCCACACUAAACCGCCCCCAUUCAUGAACCACAGGAUCUCGAGCAGAACGGAAAGGUUGUUUUAAGCCACCAUGUUUUUUUUGGGGGGGGUGCUUGAUUAUGUAGCUUGAAACAGUGAGGUAAGGAUGCCAUGGGAGGGUUUUGAGCAAUCAUCUAAUUUGACUUCAGUUUUACAAGAAUUCUUCUGUCUCUGUGCUGAGGACAGAAUAAAGAAGGGAGCGUGUUUGUGGAACAGGUGAGGGACCCAAGAAGUUGAGUGCUAAGAAGGGAUUCAAUCUAGAUAUAUUUCAAAGGACACAUGGAUGGGAUCUUCGGAUGGAUUAGAUGUGGGUUGUGAUAGAAAGAAGCGAAGGAUGGCUUCAGAGGGCAGGCCUGACCCUGGAAG